RNAcentral lists this ribosomal RNA (253 nucleotides) under uncultured bacterium. Its description in RNAcentral is "partial 16S ribosomal RNA". It matches the Rfam family "Bacterial small subunit ribosomal RNA", at positions 524 to 776 of the family's 1533-position model. The record is from RNAcentral.
GACGUAGGAUGCGAGCGUUAUUCGGAUUUAUUGGGCGUAAAGCGUGCGUAGGCGGCUGUUUAAGUCUGGUGUUAAAGCUAGGGGCUCAACCCCUGUGGUGCAUCGGAUACUGGGCAGCUUGAGUGCGGUAGGGGAAGGUGGAAUUCCGAGUGUAGCGGUGAAAUGCGUAGAUAUUCGGAAGAACACCGGUGGCGAAGGCGGCAUCCUGGACCAACACUGACGCUGAGGCGCGAAAGCUAGGGGAGCAAACGGG